CAUUACUAUGCAGAGCUGCGAACGCGACACACACAGGGGAGGUCUUGUCUGGACUUACAUGUGUGUAGAUGGACGAGGAGCUCCUCAGAGGUGCUCACACACACACACACACUCACACACACACACUCACACACGCCAUGAAAGAACAAAGAGAAGAGACUGACCUGCAGCGGUCCACUGUUGUUCAUGUUCCUCGUGUUUCUUCAUCCUCAGCUGUGGAUGUCUCUCCUCUGAGGACGUCUGUCACUCAUCUGUUCAAUUAAAGAGGAAAAAUGGAGUUAAUUGAUGCAACAGGCAGCUGAUGAAGAAAAACACGGGUCAUGAG
This is a non-coding RNA of Xyrichtys novacula (pearly razorfish), 325 nucleotides long. The record is from the annotation of a GenBank genome assembly. NCBI's taxonomy places the organism in Eukaryota, Metazoa, Chordata, Actinopteri, Labriformes, Labridae.